RNAcentral lists this transfer RNA (68 nucleotides) under Pomadasys kaakan (javelin grunt). Its description in RNAcentral is "tRNA-Cys". It matches the Rfam family "tRNA". Rfam says of the family: Transfer RNA (tRNA) molecules are approximately 80 nucleotides in length. The record is from RNAcentral. Lineage: Eukaryota; Metazoa; Chordata; Actinopteri; Lutjaniformes; Haemulidae.
AGCCUUGUGGUGUAUUUGACAUGCCAGCCUGCAAAUCUGGAGAUGCUAGUUAACACUGGCCGGGGCUU